Molecule: ribosomal RNA, 776 nt
Filed under: uncultured Neocallimastigales
Lineage: Eukaryota; Fungi; Neocallimastigomycota; Neocallimastigomycetes; Neocallimastigales
Description: partial large subunit ribosomal RNA
Rfam family: Eukaryotic large subunit ribosomal RNA
Source: RNAcentral
AGAGAGAGACAUGCGCGCAUAUCAAUAAGCGGAGGAAAAGAAACUAACAAGGAUUCCCCUAGUAACGGCGAGUGAAGCGGGAAGAGCUCAAAUUUGAAAUCUUAAAGGGUUUCCCUUUACGAAUUGUAGUUUAAAGAAGUGUUUUCUGUUGAGGUUUUGGUAAAAGUUCUUUGGAAUAGGACAUCAUAGAGGGUGAGAAUCCCGUAUUUGACCUUUACUUUCAACUUUGUGAUACACUUUCAAAGAGUCGGAUUGUUUGGGAAUGCAGUCCAAAAUGGGUGGUAAAUUUCAUCUAAAGCUAAAUAUUGGCGAGAGACCGAUAGCGAACAAGUACCGUGAGGGAAAGAUGGAAAAGAACUUUGAAAAGAGAGUUAAACAGUACGUGAAAUUGUCAAAAGGGAAGCGUUUGACACCAGUGUUGUUUUUCUGAAAAUCAAUUAAAGAACUGUUUAUGCUAAGUUGUUUAGACUUUAUCAGCUAUCUGCUUUAGUUUUGAGCUUUUCUUUAAUGCACUUUUCAGUUAACAAGUCAACAUCAAUUUCUUUUGCUGUAAAAAAGCUUGAGGAAGGUGGCUUGAGAUUCGUCUUAAGUGUUUAUAGCCUCUUGCCUAUGCAGUCGGAGAGAUUGAGGUCUGCAGCGUAGAUCCUUCGGGGCUAAAUGCAUUUGUGCUAAGUUAUAGCAUUUUAUAGACAACUUGUUGACUAUGAUUUGUCUUGUAGCUUACUCGCUUAUGUUAUUUUACCUACGCUUAGGAUGUUGAGCGCAUGUCUCUCUCU